AUUGAACGCUGGCGGCAGGCUUAACACAUGCAAGUCGAGCGGGGUGAUGGUGCUUGCACUAUCACUUAGCGGCGGACGGGUGAGUAAUGCUUAGGAAUCUGCCUAUUAGUGGGGGACAACAUUUCGAAAGGAAUGCUAAUACCGCAUACGUCCUACGGGAGAAAGCAGGGGAUCUUCGGACCUUGCGCUAAUAGAUGAGCCUAAGUCAGAUUAGCUAGUUGGUGGGGUAAAGGCCUACCAAGGCGACGAUCUGUAGCGGGUCUGAGAGGAUGAUCCGCCACACUGGGACUGAGACACGGCCCAGACUCCUACGGGAGGCAGCAGUGGGGAAUAUUGGACAAUGGGCGCAAGCCUGAUCCAGCCAUGCCGCGUGUGUGAAGAAGGCCUUAUGGUUGUAAAGCACUUUAAGCGAGGAGGAGGCUACUUUAGUUAAUACCUAGAGAUAGUGGACGUUACUCGCAGAAUAAGCACCGGCUAACUCUGUGCCAGCAGCCGCGGUAAUACAGAGGGUGCAAGCGUUAAUCGGAUUUACUGGGCGCAAAGCGCGCGUAGGCGGCUAAUUAAGUCAAAUGUGAAAUCCCCGAGCUUAACUUGGGAAUUGCAUUCGAUACUGGUUAGCUGGAGUGUGGGAGAGGAUGGUAGAAUUCCAGGUGUAGCGGUGAAAUGCGUAGAGAUCUGGAGGAAUACCGAUGGCGAAGGCAGCCAUCUGGCCUAACACUGACGCUGAGGUGCGAAAGCAUGGGGAGCAAACAGGAUUAGAUACCCUGGUAGUCCAUGCCGUAAACGAUGUCUACUAGCCGUUGGGGCCUUUGAGGCUUUAGUGGCGCAGCUAACGCGAUAAGCAGACCGCCUGGGGAGUACGGUCGCAAGACUAAAACUCAAAUGAAUUGACGGGGGCCCGCACAAGCGGUGGAGCAUGUGGUUUAAUUCGAUGCAACGCGAAGAACCUUACCUGGCCUUGACAUAGUAAGAACUUUCCAGAGAUGGAUUGGUGCCUUCGGGAACUUACAUACAGGUGCUGCAUGGCUGUCGUCAGCUCGUGUCGUGGGAUGUUGGGUUAAGUCCCGCAACGAGCGCAACCCUUUUCCUUAUUUGCCAGCGAGUAAUGUCGGGAACUUUAAGGAUACUGCCAGUGACAAACUGGAGGAAGGCGGGGACGACGUCAAGUCAUCAUGGCCCUUACGGCCAGGGCUACACACGUGCUACAAUGGUCGGUACAAAGGGUUGCUACCUAGCGAUAGGAUGCUAAUCUCAAAAAGCCGAUCGUAGUCCGGAUUGGAGUCUGCAACUCGACUCCAUGAAGUCGGAAUCGCUAGUAAUCGCGGAUCAGAAUGCCGCGGUGAAUACGUUCCCGGGCCU
This 1359-nucleotide ribosomal RNA is filed under the name uncultured bacterium. RNAcentral describes it as "bacterial SSU rRNA". It matches the Rfam family "Bacterial small subunit ribosomal RNA", at positions 28 to 1381 of the family's 1533-position model. The record is from RNAcentral.